This 461-nucleotide ribosomal RNA is filed under the name uncultured bacterium. RNAcentral describes it as "partial 16S ribosomal RNA". It matches the Rfam family "Bacterial small subunit ribosomal RNA", at positions 338 to 795 of the family's 1533-position model. The record is from RNAcentral.
CCUACGGGUGGCAGCAGUGAGGAAUAUUGGUCAAUGGGCGGGAGCCUGAACCAGCCAAGUCGCGUGAGGGAAGACGGUCCUAUGGAUUGUAAACCUCUUUAGGCGGGGAGCAAUGCCGGGCACGCGUGCCCGGAGGGAGAGUACCCGCAGAAUAAGCAUCGGCGAACUCCGUGCCAGCAGCCGCGGUAAUACGGCGGAUCCGAGCGUUAUCCGGAUUGUUUGGGUUUAAAGGGGGCGUAGGCGGACUUUUAAGUCAGCGGUGAAAGUCUGGGGCUCAACCUUAGAAUUGCAGUUGAAACUGGGGGGCUUGAGUAUGUUUGAGGCAGGCGGAAUUCGUGGUGUAGCGGUGAAAUGCUUAGAUAUCACGCAGAACCCCGAUUGCGAAGGCAGCCUGCCAGGCCAUGACUGACGCUGAUGCACGAAAGCGUGGGGAUCAAACAGGAUUAGAUACCCUGGUAGUC